This is a non-coding RNA of Pelobates cultripes (western spadefoot toad), 15731 nucleotides long. The record is from the annotation of a GenBank genome assembly. Lineage: Eukaryota; Metazoa; Chordata; Amphibia; Anura; Pelobatidae.
GCGCAAUAGCCUCACAAUGCAUUGGAUUGGCUGAGAUCAUCAACUCUCACGAGUCGGAUCCAGGGUAGGGCCAGCAGCGAGGAGACCCACUUGGCGCUGGGAAAAAUGGGGGUAAGGAUGGUGUUGACCUAAAUGGCUAUUUUAAACCUGUACACGUUUGUAUUCCUGACACUAUAGUGUCCCAUUAAGGUGUAACAUUUAAUGGUCUCCAUAAAGAUUAGUCUGGUAACUAGUGAGUAAGCACAUGGCAAAACAUCAUGUCAUUUUUAGGGCAGAGAGGAGUAUAAGCCUCUCGCCCAGCUGGCGCCUAAGCCACUCCAUCUUGCUGGCGUAUAAACCACCCCUUUUGGCUGGUGUAAAAUUCACUCCCCUUGACAGGGGUUGGAGCCACUGUUACCGGAGGAAUAACAGAAACAAACCGCAGAAGCCACACAUUGAGAUAUGGACACAAGUCUUUAGGAAGUAACAGGUCUUUUAUUUACACACCGAUCGGGUCUCACACUGAACUUGUGUUCAAAAGGUAUGAGCCCAGAGCAUAGUUUGAACAGGCUAUUUAUUAACAAUAACUCCUCUCAUUCAUAGCUCCACUCACACAUACCCUUAGACCAAUCAGUAAACAGGAUAUUCAGGAUCACCUAAUAUGGGCAGACCUUAUGACUCAUUUUAAGGACAAAGGAAUGUGAAUACAGUUGAUGCACAUGCUCAGUACAUUGAUGACAGUAUCUUAGCUACAUGUAACUAACUAACAGAUACAACAAACACCUGUACUUGUAUAUGCCACAUGGAGAUUUCAGGCUUACUAAAUUUUGAACCAUGUUGAAAUCCCAUCACACCACUUCUGUGUGAUGAAUAAUAAUAAUAAAAAGUAUAUAUAUUUUUUUCUGUUUAUGUUCAAUGUGCUUGGAAGAUUUCAUGCUAGUCCUGGUUUUUAUCGUUGAACUAAAUUGCCCAUGAAAUUAAGAUUUGUGUUUUUUCAGCCUCCUUGUGCUGUGAGGGGGUCAAUCGAUGUUCUCGCCUGGAAGUCAUGACUUUGGGGAUGGCAUUUAACUAAUUGUCUCUUCUGUGUGGUGGCUUUGGAUCCUGUGUGAAGUUAAAUAACAGGAACCUUUGCAUAUUCUUUGGUUAGUGCUCGAUGUAGUUUUUAAUUAAAUGACCAAUCGAACAGCAUAAUAACUGUUUGUUGCAUAAGCCAUGAUGCAGUGCGGUCCCAAGUCACUGUCUCCUCGCUCAUGGUGGGGGGGGGAGGAAGGGGUUAUUUAUCGCUUAGUUCUGAAUAAAAGAAUAAAUGUGAUAAAUACAAAUUUUAUUUAUUUAUGGCUGCUCCUUCUCCAUUUAUCUAGGUCUCCGUCCUUCAUUCAAUAUAUUUGAGGCACUUUGGAAAGUAUGGUUGUAGCUAAAGAGGCACCGAUUUUUCGGCCGAAAAUGGGCCUAUCCCGUUUUGGCCGAAAACAGGUCAAAUUUGCUGAAAUUAAAUAAUUUUGUAGUGCAUAGUUUAACAUACAUUCUUGCAUUAACAAUUCAGAAGAUUAUAAAUCACAGUGAAAAAUAGUAAUGAUAACAUGAAAAGUCAAGAAUACUGCACUUGGGACGGGGGGGAAGAACACUAUGGGACAGGGGAGGGGGAGAGAAAAGAACACUGGGACAAGGGUGGGAAAGAACACUAUAGGACAGGGGAGGGGGGAGAAAAGAACACUAUGGGACAAGGGAGGGAGUAAAGAAUACUACCGGACAGGAGUGGGGGAGAACACUAUAGGAUGGGGGAAGAACACUAUAGGACAAGGGGGGGUUAGAACACUAGGACAGGGGAUGGGAGAAAAUAACACAAUGGGACAGGGGGGACACUAUGGAACUGGGGAGGAGGGGGGAAAGAACACUAAAAAAGAGGAAGGGGAGAGGAACACUAGAGGGGGAAGAGAGGAACAUUAAGGGGGGGGGAUCACUAAAAGAGAAGAGAGAAGGGAAGUUUUUUAUAUCAGAUUAAUUAAAUUCAUUAAAAUGUCUAAUAUUAAUAAAAUCAUAGGAAAAAAUCUUUUAAAAAAUCUUUUUGGGGAAAAAAAAGUCAUUUUUUGGUUUCGGCCCAAAAUUUUCGUUUCGUUGCAUCCCUAGUUGUAGCCAGUAUCCAGUUGGACUACAAAACUUAUAAUGCCCUGCAUAGUUUAUUCUGAUACUCCACCAAUACUGUUUUCCACUUGGCUACAAAGUGACUAAAGCACUCUGAAUGUAUUCAUGUAGGAAACAACGUACUGGUAUUUUUGCUUAAAGGAACUGGUCAGUGUAGUAGCUAUGUUGUCUGUGUUGUUAACAGUGUGUAAUUCAAGUACAAAUAUUUUGUUUCAUAUAGUCUCGGAAUGAUUUGACAAAAUACAGGACUCUCCACUGAUUCUGGAGACCUUCCCAUCCUGUGUUUGAUUUAUAAUUCGGAAAAUGCCCAACAGCGAUAGGUUGAGAACCCAGGGGGUGAUUGUGUUGACAUUUAGAAUGCCAAAGUGUAAAUUUGGCAAUGUCAAUGCUGCCAACUAGGGGAGUGCACUUACAUGAUUUAUUAAAAAUUCAAAAAGACAAUGCAGUGGAAGUUUUGGCAACAUAACAAGUAAACUGAGCUGCUUAUAGUGACCCUUUAAUGGGUUAAAAAAAAACAAUUCUCUCUUAAAGGAACCGUUAUAUCAGACUUAUAAUGCUGCUAUUUUUCUACAUAGUGUGCUAGUCUAUUAGGUGCUUUGUUUUUUUGCCUUUUUUUGCCAAGGUGCUAAAUUCUUUUACAGAAGAUAAACUAUAAAGAUGCUAUCAGUAUGAACUGGGCACACCUGCCUUGUGGCAGGUAAUUAGGAGAAGGUCACAGAGUUCUUGUAGCUCCUUGUUCUGGCAGACCAGUUCUUCUAGUAAAUAUUAGAUAUCUAUUCAUUUAGAAAUUUACUAUGCUUAUGCCUUGAUAGGAUACAGAUUUUGUCAUCCUUGAGUUUUGUUCACGAUGGAAUCCUCCUACUACAGUGAUGAGCAAUGGUAGCUGCCCAGAUAAUGACACUUCUCUGCUAGCAGAAAUAUUGGAAAAGAUCAAUGGAGGUAGUAGUUAAUCUCUGGAUCUACCCCUACUAUAAUGGCAUCCCCAAACUGUGUAUUAAAGAGCUUUACAGCCCACACCAUGAGAAUCAAAUUCUCUGCUAUUGUCAAUCACAAAAGUUCUUGUCCUGGACUACAGGAAACAAAUAAAGAAUACCAUGCCUGAAUGGACACCUAAGUGGCGGAACUGUAAUUAUGCUCAGAAUAAAAGCAUCACCUUGAUUCAUUUUCUGUCGUUCCAAAGCUAUCACAAUUAUGCUUUUUACUGUUAAAACAAGAAAUCAGUAUAUAAUUGGACAGAUGAAAAACUAUUGCGGUAUUAUAAAUAACAACGAAUGCAAUACAGCACACAUAAAUUCUACAGAAAAGACAAACAGACCAGGUGCUAUUUUCCAUCCAAUUAUCAUUCUCUGGGAUUACUGAGAAACAGGGAUUGGUAUGUAAAUAGGCCGUAUUCCACUAGUUUCACACCAAGGCAAAUCCUGAAUGAAACUAAUAUGCAUUCAGUGCUUCCUCCCACCACGUCUAAGGAAUUCACAUUAAAUUACAACAAUCACAUAAUUUUCUGUCAAUAAAGCUUGAUGUGUUAGUCAUUAAAGACAAGUGUUCAUUGACUGUAAUCUGUUCCUAGGAUAGUGUGAGUCACAGGCAUGUGUAGGGACUCGAGUCAGACAUUUACCGGUAUAAUUAAGAAGACAUCCUGGAAAUGUCAUAUUUACUUCUAAUGAAAUGACUGCAUCUAGUACUGAAUAUUAAGGUAUGGGUUGAUUCAGGUCUACAAAUAUAACUUUCUACAAUUCAUUAAUUGUCAGUAAAAUAUUUCACCUUAAUGCUGCUGAUAUAAGACAUGUCCACACCUCUAUUAUUGUAUGGGCUUUAUGUCAGACUUAGGAGACCCUCUAUUGGCUGAGAUUAAACCUGGAGACCGAUAGGAGUACUUCCUAAAAAGGUACACAUUUAAUUUCCUUAAUGAACCUGAAGAGUCUAAAGUUUUAAGGUCAAAAGGGCUUGAAGAAUUGUGGUCAAGUGUGGUUGGACGAUGAAGGCAGGGAAGCAAAGACUUGUAAUCUAUAUUAUAAAUCCAGAUUGGAUAUUCAGAAAGCAGAAACACAGGAAGGGUCCAAAGGAUAGUUGGCUUGCAGGCUAAACUAUAAACACAGGGGCAGCAGAAUAUUUUGUCGAUAUAGACCGAUUGGAUGGACCAAUGCUAGAGCACAGAUACAACACAAGAAAACAAGUAGCCUACGUUACUGAGCUACGGGACAUCAUUAAAAGAUGCCAAGUGUACUAAUAUCAACCUGUGGCGCCAUAGAGAAUCGUGCACACCAGCAGCCUCAGAGUAGGUACCCCAAGCCUUGAGAAGCCAGUGACACGGGUAAGUGGUCCCACAUAUGCAUGUUUCCAAAACACUUGGCAAAACGGAUAAAAUACAGCAAGAAAUUAAGGAAAACAAAAGGAGAGAAAGCUGAACAAAAUGAAAAAUGAGAGAAGUCUUUGAAAAAUGGACAGGAGCUGAGUAGAAAAUAGUGGGAAAACAAAAGAAGGGACCAUUGUUUGAAUUCUGAAGCAACACUGAUAGACAUUGAUACCAUGGUCGCCAAAAAGUGAAAGCUUUCCUUCAAAGUUGCAAGAUAAAUAUAAUUUAAGGUGCUGUUAGAUUAAUCAUAGAGUAAUCAUACCCAUUUUAAAUGUCACAAAUACGUUUUUGUGCUUCUUGAUCACUGUUUAAAGGGCAUAGUUACUUUUAAAUAAAUACUCUGGAAGAAGAUCCAACUCUUUGAGCGACCAGAAGAAAGUCUUUGGGAAGGUAUUCCACACCUGGACUUCUGGGUUCUAGCAAUUGAUCUAUCUGCCAGGAAUGUUUAGGUUUAAUAAUUCCCCCCUUCAGUUUCUUCGGUUAUUUAAUUGAUUAUUUCUAGAGCACUUACAAAUUCUUCAAAGUGAUAUUCAUUGACAUGUACGAGAAAUCUGGGUGGUCAGGUGAUUUUGUGACUUGUUGAGAAAGGAAAUUGCAGAUAUUCGGCUAAAGUGUCCACACUAGAAAAAUUUCACUCAGACAUUUUCAUUCCCCUUGGUAUUCCUACACCAUUCUUGAAUUAGAAAAACAAAUGCAGUGUCCUUACAGGCAAUUUCAAAACUAACAAAAAAAUUGGAAUUGAAAUAAAGAAAUUGGAAUUGAAAAAAUUCAUUUUUCCGAUUCUGCCUUUUUGGCCUGGACCUAAAAAUGAAAAUUGAUUGUCAAGUUUCUACAACUCACUGUUCAAUGAAUAAAUGCAGGACAUUUCCCAAACAUCUCUAUGUCUGUAAAAGAUCAAUUAUAUGUGUUGCUCUAUUAAAUACAAGGUGGAUGUGGGUGAUGAAACAACCCAAGAGGUUUCUACAAUUUGUACUUCGAAGUUCUUGUACCUUCAUUAAUUGUCCAAAAAAAGACCAAUCACUCUUGCGUGAGAAAAUAAAUUCAUUCUUCCCCUUAUGACUCAUGUUUUAUUGAACAAAUUCUUUAGGUCUUAGCAGCGAUUCAACCUGCAGACUCCUGUUCAUUAUUAGAACUUCGAGACUGAAUCAAAUUAAAAUCUACCAACUUGCAAACGAACAGAAUUAAUCCUCUGCUACUAAAAGAGGUGAUGUAGAGGUCACCGCUAUAAUAUCUUCCCCCUCCCCAAUUAAGCUCCACUGCAGAUAUAAAUCAAAUUUGCUCACACAUGAAGAACUUCUGUUUUAUUUAUCACCCAAUUGUUUUAUUUAGGAUUCUUCAUUGGAAUAUUUAUUAUAACAGAGCAGUUUCAAUGUAACGCGUUCUGGAAAUAUAAAAGUUUCAUGAGACAUAGUGAUUCAUCGUCGACUCGUAUCAUGGGACCAGUCGUUCUGUGAAUUUGCAGACUCAGAUGUUCCACUUUUGAGCCCGGGUGUUAUUUUAAGAUGCACGUUCAAAAAAAAAUUAUUAUUUUUUUUUUUUUAAAUACUUUAACAUAUUGCACACAUAAAUAAACCCACCUUUGCUCGGGUUCUCGAGACGACAACAUUUUGCUUGUUGUGUUUUGUAAAAGCCAUUUCCAUGUCACUACCCAGAAUUUACUGUGGCUUGUCACUGCUGGAUGCCAGGGAGUUGUAGAGUAAUAAACUUUGUGAAGAACAAUAAAAUGUGCAAUAUUUAAGAAAUUUAGUAAAAGCCAUUAACGUGUCAUUACUCUGAAUGCAAUGCAGUACUUCUGUCUCCUGAAUAUUAACGUGGUUGAAGAAGGUGGUUGAAGAAUAAAAUUAGGGUUGUCAAAACCUUUGGUAAAAGCUAUUAACAUGUCAUAACCCAGAAUUCAUUGUAGUGAUUCUCAUUGUGUUUUAUGUAGCAAAGUUUAGAAUAUUGAAACAUUUUUUUUAAAGCAAUUCCCAUGUCACCAUCUUACAUCAAUGGCUUUAUUUGCACUGUGCUGUAUGUCAAAAGGCUAUAAAUGAAGAAAUUAAUGAUUUUUUUAUUUUAUUUUUUUUUAAUAUGUGACACAAUUUUGUAUGCAGUUUGUGUAAAAAUAGUGGGCACAAAAUCAAAUAAAUUGUUAAAUAACAAAUGAGGGGUGGAAUAUGUAAUAUGCAUAUAACUUCAGAAGUCUGUGGAAUUUCUAAAUCUAUAACAUUUUGUGUAGAGACAUCAGAACUUUUCCUUUCCAGUACAAAAAUGCGAGAAGAACAUCUAUUUUCUCUAAAGUAAGCAAAGAGAGAGAGAGAGAGAGGAUGUUUUUUUUUUAAAUUCUUUAUUUUUCAUGUGCUCAGAUUCACAACAAGCGCGCAGAGCCACGACAGCUUCUGCACGCAUUUUCAUAACAUUUUGCAGUUUAGACAGCACAUUUUUUUAUAUAUAACAUGAGGAAUAUAGGCAGUCAAACAUAAAGGUAGUAUAGUGUAGCAUGCUAGACUGAACGUGCAUUUAACAUGGCUAGUAGCGCUGCUGCGCUGGGGUUUGUAUGUCUAAGGCAUUGCAUUAUUAAGAACGACAGCUGUGGUGUGAUUUGCACGUUAUCAACUGUUACGACAUGUCAGCAGCCCUACCGCUAGUGUUAAUUCAAACUGAAGGUGUCCCAUUAGACAAGACUGGUCAAUAACAAGAUACAUAAGCGGGUAUAGUAAAUAUAGUAGAUAUAUGUAUGAGGGACCAUGGUUAUAGACUCUUCGGGAGGUGAAAAAACAGCAUUUUUAAACCAAUUGUUACUUUAUGAAUAGCUAGCUUGUGGAGAGCAGUAAUGUGGAAGUCUAUUUAUAGCAAGACAUGCCUGGCAGACUCCGCACUCCUGCUUGUGCUUAUCCGAUCCCUUCUGGGCGCCUGGUACAUAGCCCGGGGGCCUCCAUCACACAGAACAUCAGAGGCAAGUGUCCGACGAAGCGCCAGGUUACCGGCUUAUGGUGGGGAAGUUUGUUCCGUCUGGUGGUCGGCACCGUCCCUGUGGGCUGGGCGCCAUAUAUACGGUGCGGUUUUGACGCGGCUUGAGGUGGGUGCUUGUCUUGAGGCAGGCUUUGCGUGUCCGUUUGUGUCUCCGAUCCCUUCUUCGGUGCCUUUUGAAGGGACUUCUAGUGACUGUUGGUCUGUGUCCGCCCUUUGGGUGCCGCAGGUAGUGGCGCAGGAUUAGACCGCUUGACGUUAGCUGUGGUCAGCGCCCUCUCCGAGAUCCCGGCCCUGAAGGCAGCAAGGGUAGCGUCCAGCUUGAAAAGUGUGUUAUUCAGCUGCUCCCUAGCAGUCCCCCCUGUUUUCCGGCUUGCUCGUUGCAUCAGCCAUUUUGGGGUUGGUGACUCUAGGAGCUUGUAGUCCCUGGGAUGUGUGAGUCAGCGGAGGGUGUGCUGCUGUUGCCGGGAUUUUGGGGGGGGGGGGAAGAAGGCUUGUGGGUGGUCCUCCGCAGUGUUAAUAUUGGCUUUUGGGAUGAGAUUGUAGCAUGAGAACCAAGUUUAUUUCGCUUAAACAGGGAUUUCAGGCUGGAGCUCAUAUUACACACGACUGAUCAGCUCCACAGCCAGGCUCUGCUCCCGUUUUUUGUAUUUUUUUAAUGUCAUACUUUCAAACAUGGCCAAUGGACAGCAAAAUACAUUUCUGUUUCAGGGAUAUGACUAGUGUUGUGGCCAAGGAUGGCUCUAUUCUGGGUUAUUUUAGGUGAUUACCAGCCCACCUUGACAGAGGUGGUCAUGGAGUAAAUAAGAGCAGGCGGGCAAGUCUGCCCAUCAAAAGGGGCCAAUAGUGUCCAGAAAUCUGCCGAAAGGUUAUAAAAUGCAGGACGAGGCAGUAGUGGGAUUCAAAAUUUUUAGUAACCAGUUCUGACUUUUCAGACACUCACAUCAACGCAGUCAUGCAUAUAUACCCUAAGGGGCAAAAACACCCCGGGGAGGGGAGACGUCAACAACAGCUCCUCCCUAGCCCAGAGCUCAGACCUCCCCAAGCUGCCUUCCCUAGAUCAAGUGGCCCCUGGAGACAACCACCUGGUGGAGAGGUCAGACUGCAAAUAGAAAAUUCUACCUUUUAUUACCUGCUGCUGGGAUCUCCAGGAACAAUGGUGCUUCUCAUGCAGUAAGUGUAAUCCAUAUAAUGAUGAAAUCCUGAGGAGAUGCACUUCACUUGAAGAGCACAGUAACUCACAUGAGUGCACAGCCCUCUGACAGCCAGUACCAGUUGCUGCCCAAAUCUCAGACAGCAGGGUGCUGUGCAGGCAGGGCCGCCAUCAGGGGGUGACAACCAUAAUGGUUGUCACAGGCCCGUCUGUCCUGGGGGGCCCGGACUGCUUUGGCAGUCCAGGGCCCCACAAUUACUCUCUGCACCUAUAUAUAGCAAUGAUCACUAUAUAUAGGUGCAGCCGCAGGCCCCCCAGGCUCCCUAUACUUGCAGUGAGGGCCCAGCGGACUGCAGCUGUACUUUACAGCAUUUCCCUCGCUCUCACUCCCGCAAGACGUGUGGCCGUUAGAGCGUUGCCAUGGGUUACCAUGGCAACGCGGCGCGCACACCACAUCUCGCGGGAGUGAGAGCAAGGGAAAUGCUGUAAAGUACAGCUGCAGUCCGCUGGGCCCCCUCUGCAAGUAUAGGGAGCCGGGGGGCCCCACAAUGCCACCGGACCACCAGGGAUCAUGGAAUCUACCCCCUCCCUGAACCAGGUAAGAAACAGGGAGGGGGGAAUAACAGUUAUUACAUUUACAUGCAUACACUACUAAACACACACACACUGCAUUCACUACACUAACACACACACUGUAUUCACUGCACUAACACACACACUGCAUCCACUACACUAACACACACUCACACUGCAUUCACUACACUAACACACACACUGCAUUCACUGCACUAACACACACUCUCAUUCACUAGACUGACACACACACUGCAUCCACUACAUUAACACACACACUGCAUUCACUACACUAACACACACACUGCAUCCACUGCACUAACACACACUGCAUCCACUACACUAACACACACACUGCAUUCACAACACUAACACACACACUGCAUUCAUUACACUAAAACACACUGCUUUAAUUACACUAACACACACACUGCAUCCACUACACUGACACACACACUGCAUCCACUACACUGACACACACUGCAUUCACAACACUGACACACACACUGCAUCCACUACACUGACACACACACUGCAUUCACUACACUGACACACACACUGCAUCCACCACACUGACACACACUCUGCAUUCAUUACACUGACACACACUCUGCAUUCACUACACUAACACACACACUGCAUUAAUUGCACUAACACACACUCUGCAUUCAUUAUAAUAACACAGUCUGCAUUCAUUGCACUGACACACAGUCUGCAUUCAUUACACUGACACACAGUCUGCAUUCAUUACACUAACACACACACUGCAUCCACUGCACUAACACACACUCUGCAUUCACUGCACUAACACACACUCUGCAUUCACUACACUGACACACACACUGCAUUAAUUACACUAACACACACACUGCAUCCACUACAUUAAUACACACACUGCAUUCACUACACUAACACACACUGAAUCCACUACACUAACACACACACUGCAUCCACUGCACUAACACACACUGCUUUCACUGCACUAACACACCCACUGCAUCCACAACACUAACACACACUUCAUUCAUUACACUAACACACACACACUGCAUUCAUUACACUAAUACACACACACUGCAUCCACUACACUGACACACACACUGCAUUCACUACACUGACACACACACUGCAUCCACUAUACUGACACACACUCUGCAUUCAUUACACUGACACACACACUGCAUUCAUUGCACUAACUCACACUCUGCAUUCAUUAUAAUAACACAGUCUGCAUUCAUUGCACUGACACACAGUCUGCAUUCAUUGCAUUGACACACACACUGCAUUCAUUGCACUGACACACACACUGCAUUCAUUACACUAACACACACUGCAUUCAUUGCGGGGGGCCGGGGAAUCUAUAACCUACUUACUGACCAUUUAACUUAAGUGAAAAAAGUAAUUUAGAACAAAAAUCUAAGUAUUUUAGUUACACAAACACACCUAUGAACAUCUGUAUACAGAGGGACCUGGGUUUACAAACGCCUCGGUUAACAUAAUUUUCGGUUUACAAAUGAAAAUCCAUUGAAAAUAAUGCCUCGGUUUACAAAAAAAUUUCGCAAAACAAAGCAAGUUUCCCCAGGAUGCAUUGCACCUGGGAGGUUUAUAGCACCGCUCGCUGCAUGCUGGAGCCUGUGGGUAGCACGUGGCGUAGAGUGUGGAGGUGUUGGAGCAGCUUUUGCAUUGAGUUUUGGAGCCAUUCUGGAAAUUGUUUGCAGUUGUUUUGGGACUUUUUGGUGCAUUUCUCAAGUUGUGGAACGGUAGGGAGCUGAGCUUUGUCGUUUGCAUGCCUUUUAUUGUGUGUUCUGCAUUGUGACUUGGUUUCCAUGCCAGCUCAUUUUGACUUUUUUUCUGACCUCCAGAACGGAUUAAUUGGUUUCCAAUGGGAAACCACGUUUCGGUUUACAGAUUUUUCUCAAUAAGAAAAGUCCCGGAGAACACAUUAAAUUCGUAAACCGAGGUCCCACUGUACUUUGUAUCUUAAAGACAUAUCCCAGUAAGUUUUCUAUAGUGGAGCUUAGUUUUACAGUAGUAAACACUGAAAAUUCGUAAACCGAGGUCCCACUGUACUUUGUAUCUUAAAGACAUAUCCCAGUAAGUUUUCUAUAGUGGAGCUUAGUUUUACAGUAGUAAACACUGAAUAUUCUGGCUAUGUGGGUAAAAUAAUGUGGAUUCACGCAUGUAUAUGUGAUGUGGCUAUAUGGAUAUGUAAUUUAGUUAUAUGAAUGUAGCUGUACACAUAUGUAAUGUGGCUAUGCGUAUGCAGUAUAUGUGAUGGUACUAUAUAGAUAUGUAAUGUGGCCAUAUGGCUGUUAUUACAUGGAUAUGUUAUGUUGCUAAAUGGAUGCAGUGUAAUCCAAAAAUUUACUACACAAUGUUAUCCCGACCCAGGGAUUAAAGGAACACUCCACUGCCCAAAUGAAAAAAAAAAAUCGCUGUUUUGUAGAUUUACCCCCAAUAAAUACAUGCAUUCAUUUUUCAUGUUCAGUGGGGGGGUUAUAUCAUAAGAGACCUUGCAAAGGCUGCAGAUCUUAUAAACUGCAUAGAAAUCGUGACUUUUAUAAACUGGGGUUAAACUGGGAUACUCCACACCCAUAAAGCAAGCUGAAGUGCUAUUGGGGUGCGGAGUGGUCCUUUAAGAGACACUGGCUUAGGGAUUGGUAAAACCGUAACAGUGCGCUUUGUAUUACUAUUAUUGUAUAUUGUAUUAUGCACGCCAGCAACUUCCUGUACUUGGACAGCUCUCUUAUUAUCAAUUACCCGCUGCAGCUCUAAUGCUGGGUGAGUGGUGAAUGGGAACAUUAAAGCUUUUAUCCAAACCAUAAGAUGGCAAACAGAUGUUGCCAGGAACGCACAUAGCAUACGGACUUCUAACGACGGCAGAUACUUCAUGUCUCUGCCUACAGUGUGCCCCCUCCUUGCUCGAGCAAGUCUUGUGAGGAGAACAUGUAAGGGUUGUGGAACGAAUAAAGAAGAUAACAGGUUUGCAAUGCUGCCAGUGGUAGUGUUUACGAUUUGUGUAUCGGUAGCAUGUGUAAGCGAAUGGCAUUCUACCUGAGUAUCACUGAAAGAAAGAAAUAUGUAGGUAAAAGAUAAACGUGCCAAUGAGCAAUAUUUGAAGGUACCCUCCAGACCCAGCUUGCUGAAGUGCUUUAUGUGUGAAGAGUGUGUCCACUUUGUUUCUUUUUCGUUUUAGACAAAGUGCAGAUUUCAAUACGGCAUUUCAGAAUGUUUGUAAACAAUAGGCGCCAAGAUACUUCCAGGUGGCAGAACGCGAGCGGCUUCCACUGACCUGAACAGAUCCAGCCGGUCUGGCCAGGGAACACCCCCAGUAUACCCAGCAUCCGCUACUAUUGUCAGACUCCCUGCCUGGAGACCCAUCCCUGGCCAUUGCUAUGCCUGGGAGCCCACUCUGCCCUUAAAACUUCUGGAACCCUUCCUGGUCCUGUUUAUGGGGGUCCCCCCUGUGGAUCUCUGUAAGUACAGUUCUGAGGUGCUUUCUGUCUCCUUGCUGCUAUGGAAAAGUUUAUUUGAUUUGUGCUUGGCUCAGGGAUUUAAAUAGCACUGCAAGGGUUAAAUCCCCCCCAUCCCCAAUGGCAGCUAGAGGGCUUGGGAGAGCUGCUGGUCUCUGGCCCCUGAGGGGUUAAAUCCUCAGGAGAUGGGGUGAAAUGCAUUUAUUAACCCAUUGUUGGUGUGAUUGGAAAGCAAUGGUAUGGAGGUUAUACAGUACUGACUGUGUGGGAUUUUAACCUCUUCCAUUCCAAAGAAAAUGGGGAUUUAAAGGAAAUUUGCUACUUACAUCAGUCUUCUGAAUUCAUUAAUUUGCCGUGCAGGUAUGUCGGUUUAUACACCUGGGAUAUCACAGGACAUGGAGGGUGAAAGGGCAGAUUCUAUGGGUAUGGAGGGGUGAUUUUCAGAUUUUGUCUGGUCUAAGGGAAAAAUUACCAGAAACUAAUAAGAAAAGGCUAAGUAUUAUGUAUUUUAAAGUCUCAGAUUCAUUUAAAUCAGGAAUCAAGCCUUUAUUGAAAAGAUUAACCCUCUAAAUACCGAAGUUGUGUUUUAAUUAAUUAUCUGCUGGCACAAAAGGGGUUAAAUCAGAUCAGUUUAUUUUAUUUUUUUAUAUAUUUUUCAUUUGAUAUUUUGUUAUGCCCUUUCUGAAAUAUAGCCCAAAUAUUACAGUUAACUUUUUAGACAGCUUGUUAAUCACAAGUGCUACCAGCUGUUUCGAUUUUGCUUGAAUCAACACAAAGGAUAAAACAAACAUCGAAUUCUUGCAGAGGAAGGCUAGGUGUCUCUGAAUCGUGUUUAAAUAUGUAAAUGAGUGCUCUUCACUGUGUUAGUUCAGUACAUGUAAAUUGUAUACUAGUGGUGCCAUCGGAGAACGCAUUGGCUUUUGCCACCCAGAAGAACGUUUAUUAUUGUUGUGACGUCAUGGUGAAUUGUCGUAUAGAAAUUGACACUUUUAUGAUUUUACCUGGUUACACCCCCCUGGCUUUCAAUCAGACAGCAGGUCCUGUUAAUUCCUGGUUUGCUUAGCUCAGUGGAGAUAAAUUCAAGAGGCAGCAAUUGCCCAGAGCACCUGCCUUGUAAAGACUUCUCAUUGAGCUGCAUUGGGAAAUCUGUGAUUGGACAGUCACAAAAGGUCUGGGUGGAGUUAGAAGGGGAGGAGGCUUGCAAAGGCUGCAGACAAGACAUCUGCAGCUUUUGCAAGCUAUUUUUGGUUAUAUGCCUAUUAAAAAAAUGCAUAAUUAAAUGCAAGUAAGUUUUCAUUGGGAGUAUAUCUACUAAACAGUUUUAUUUUUAAAACAUUUUUAUUUGGGCAGUUGCUAAGUGCCUGCUGUAAUAAUUCUAGGUUGCAUGAGAGAGGGAAACCUAUGAUGAACACAACCUGUGUUACCACCUGAUUUUCCUCCAAAGAGCUACAAAUACACCCCUGAAUCAAAUACUGCAUGCACUCGCUCACUGAAAGUCCACACAAAGCUAGUGAUUCCUUUGGUAAAAUUCCACACAAACACUACCCUAUAUUUACAUACUCGAGACACUGUACACAUAUUAACCCUUGUAUUCACACACUUUGAUAUAUAGAAAAAAUACUCUUAGUUCACACACACAUAUUCUGACAGUUCACACACACAGUGACACAAUACGCAAACACUCCUGCACUUACACAAUCAUUGUAAUGCCACACAAAAACAGUCCUGCAUUCUAACAUGCAUACUGACACUUCAUAUACACCUGUAUUCACAUACACACUUACAUAUACUCCACGCAUAUACCACUUUAUUCCAAUACUCACACAUGCACUGUGCAUAAGAUUUUACACUUCGUUAUUAAGGCAUAAGUUUUGUUGCAAUUUGGUUGUCAUUUCAAUGUGAGAAACUGCUCAGUUAAUUAAUCCCACAGCCUUCCAUUGUAUUUAUCUGUAAGUGUUCUAAAAAAUCACUCUCACAUCAAAAAUGACAAUUCUAUCUAAAGAUACUCUCAAAAAAAAAAAAUACAUUUCUAACAGCUGACAUUCCCGAAAGCACACGAGAGAUUCUCCUAAACCAUUUAUUCUAUUGAAUUUGUAGUGAGUUAGUGGCACAAAAAUAUUUAUAUAUCGCUAGCUAUUUCUUUGACAAACCGUGAGAGAUCUGUCCCUAUUAUUAUUCUAAUAUUUUAAAAUUGACAGAAACAAAAUCAUCGUACCUGAAACUUAUACCCGCAUUUACUGUCGCAUAUUGGUAGAAAAGCUGGCAGAGGAGGAUAAUUUGUAGAACGAAUACACUUCGUUAAUUAAUGGGAAAAAAAAAUACAAAGAAAAGUGGAGAAAACAAACCCUACUUUUUUUGUUUUUUUUAUUCUUUUCUGCUAAUCGGCAUUUUGCUAAUUGCAUUUUAUUCUUCUGUACAAAUACAGGCCCCUUCUGUUUCAUUAAUUCUAAUUGGAUAUUCCUGGAUACCAGAGAUGGGAAGAGAUUUUUGUUGGCACACGGACGUGGCUGUUCCCCUGGCUCUGUGACUGUUAUUGAUGAUGUAAAGAGAACGUUUGCUUCUAAACUCGGGGACAUGUGCAGCCUCUGUUGCUGGGCAGUGCGGGACGCGCAGGAGCAAAUGCCUAAAGCUUUCUGACUAUUUGUUUGUAUUGUUUACCAUCUUUCCCUACACAAGGUGUGCAACUUCACAAACCAAACAGCGUCCUUUAAGGCAUUAUCUGGCCAAACGGAGGAAAUAACCAAAAUAUGUAUUAUGGGCGCUAGCACUACACAAUGUCUAUAUUAGUUAUACUUUUAAAGAAAUAGUCACAUUUCUCUAAAUCUGACUGCCAUUCUGGGGUCAAGAAGGAUUUUUUUUCCUAGCUUGUUGCAAAAUUGUGCUUCAAACUGUUUUUUUUUUGCCUUCUUUUGGAUCAACAGCAAAAAACAAAUGUGAGGAAGGCUGAACUUGAUGGACGCAAGUCUCUUUUCAGCUAUGUAACAUUAUCUAUCUAUCAAUCUAUGUAUCUAUCAUCUAUCUAUCAAUCAAUCUCUCUAUUUCUAUCUAUCUAUCUAUCUAGUUUAUUGAUCCAUGCAUCUCUCAAUCUAUAUCUCUGACUGUUUAUGUG